CAACACACCGACAUGAUGAUGGCCUUAUUACAAAAACUAGGUUUUGUAAUCAACAUUCAGAAAUCGGACCUGGAACCUUCUCAGAGGGUUCAGUUUCUCGGAUUUCUAAUAGACUCCGUACAGGCGAUUUUACAACUACCUUCUACAAAGGUCAAGACUAUAAAGAAAGACAUUCGCUAAUUGCUAUCGGCCCACCAGAUUCGCCUACGCGAUCUGGCUCAUACCAUAGGCCUACUGUCCCC
This is a non-coding RNA of Pelobates cultripes (western spadefoot toad), 242 nucleotides long. Lineage: Eukaryota; Metazoa; Chordata; Amphibia; Anura; Pelobatidae. The record is from the annotation of a GenBank genome assembly.